Molecule: ribosomal RNA, 468 nt
Filed under: uncultured bacterium
Lineage: Bacteria
Description: partial 16S ribosomal RNA
Rfam family: Bacterial small subunit ribosomal RNA
Source: RNAcentral
GACGAACGCUGGCGGCGUGCUUAACACAUGCAAGUCGAACGGAAAGGCCCUGCUUUUGUGGGGUGCUCGAGUGGCGAACGGGUGAGUAACACGUGAGUAACCUGCCCUUGACUUUGGGAUAACUUCAGGAAACUGGGGCUAAUACCGGAUCGGAGCUCCUGCUGCAUGGUGGGGGUUGGAAAGUUUCGGCGGUGGGGGAUGGACUCGCGGCUUAUCAGCUUGUUGGUGGGGUAGUGGCUUACCAAGGCUUUGACUGGUAGCCGGCCUGAGAGGGUGACCGGGCACAUUGGGACUGAGAGAGGGCGCAGUGGCCUACGGUAGGCAGCAGGGGGGAGUAUUACACAAUGGGCGGAAGCGUGAUGCAGAAACGCCGCGUGCGGGAUGACGGCCUUCGGGUUGUGAACCGCUUUCGCCUGUGACGAAGCGUGAGUGACGGUAAUGGGUAAAGAAGCACCGGCUAACUACGUG